This 296-nucleotide ribosomal RNA is filed under the name uncultured Sphingobacterium sp. RNAcentral describes it as "partial 16S ribosomal RNA". It matches the Rfam family "Bacterial small subunit ribosomal RNA", at positions 9 to 301 of the family's 1533-position model. Lineage: Bacteria; Pseudomonadati; Bacteroidota; Sphingobacteriia; Sphingobacteriales; Sphingobacteriaceae. The record is from RNAcentral.
GAGUUUGAUCAUGGCUCAGGAUUAACGCUAGCGGCAGGCCUAAUACAUGCAAGUCGAACGGCAGCACGGGUAGCAAUACCUGGUGGCGAGUGGCGCACGGGUGCGUAACGCGUAUGCAAUCUACCUAUAACUGGGGAAUAGCCUUUCCGAAAGGAAGAUUAAUACCGCAUAAUAUCACGAAACGGCAUCGCUUUGUGAUCAAAUCUCCGGAGGUUAUAGAUGAGCAUGCGUGACAUUAGCUAGUUGGUGAGGUAACGGCUCACCAAGGCGACGAUGUCUAGGGGGUCUGAGAGGAU